RNAcentral lists this transfer RNA (67 nucleotides) under Euplotes focardii. It matches the Rfam family "tRNA", at positions 5 to 66 of the family's 71-position model. From Rfam's summary of the family: Transfer RNA (tRNA) molecules are approximately 80 nucleotides in length. Their secondary structure includes four short double-helical elements and three loops (D, anti-codon, and T loops). Lineage: Eukaryota; Ciliophora; Spirotrichea; Euplotida; Euplotidae. The record is from RNAcentral.
UUAGUGGUGUAGGGGUAUCACGUUUGCUUCGCAUGCGAAAGGCCCCGGGUUCGAUUCCCGGCUAGUC